GAAUAUUAGAAAUGGACGAAAGUCUGAUCUAGCAACACCGCGUGUGCGAAGAAGGCCUUUGGGUCGUAAAGCACUUUUUGGAAGGAAUAGGAAGGAAUGUACUUCCAGAAUAAGUCUCGGCUAACUACGUGCCAGCAGCCGCGGUAACACGUAGGAGGCAAACGUUAUCCGGAUUUACUGGGCGUAAAGCGCGUGUAGGUGGUACUGUAAGUAGGGCGUGAAAGCUCCUGGCUCAACUGGGAGAGGCCGUUCUAAACUACAGAACUAGAGGAUGGUAGAGGGAGGUGGAAUUCCAGGUGUAGCGGUGGAAUGCGCAGAUAUCUGGAGGAACACCGGUGGCGAAGGCGGCCUCCUGGACCAUUCCUGACACUCAGACGCGAAAGCUAGGGUAGCAAACGG
RNAcentral lists this ribosomal RNA (399 nucleotides) under uncultured bacterium. Its description in RNAcentral is "bacterial SSU rRNA". It matches the Rfam family "Bacterial small subunit ribosomal RNA", at positions 359 to 775 of the family's 1533-position model. The record is from RNAcentral.